UACAGAGGGUGCAAGCGUUAAUCGGAAUUACUGGGCGUAAAGCGCGCGUAGGUGGUUUGUUAAGUUGAAUGUGAAAGCCCCGGGCUCAACCUGGGAACUGCAUCCAAAACUGGCAAGCUAGAGUAUGGCAGAGGGUGGUGGAAUUUCCUGUGUAGCGGUGAAAUGCGUAGAUAUAGGAAGGAACACCAGUGGCGAAGGCGACCACCUGGGCUAAUACUGACACUGAGGUGCGAAAGCGUGGGGAGCAAACAGG
RNAcentral lists this ribosomal RNA (253 nucleotides) under uncultured bacterium. RNAcentral's name for it is "partial 16S ribosomal RNA". It matches the Rfam family "Bacterial small subunit ribosomal RNA", at positions 524 to 776 of the family's 1533-position model. The record is from RNAcentral.